Molecule: signal recognition particle RNA, 299 nt
Filed under: Aotus nancymaae (Ma's night monkey)
Lineage: Eukaryota; Metazoa; Chordata; Mammalia; Primates; Aotidae
Description: Metazoan signal recognition particle RNA (ENSANAG00000015025.1)
Rfam family: Metazoan signal recognition particle RNA
About the family: The signal recognition particle (SRP) is a universally conserved ribonucleoprotein.
Source: RNAcentral
GCCGGGCAUGGUGGCAUGUGCCUGUAGUCCCAGCUACUCGGGAGGCUGAGGUGGGAGGAUGGUUUGAGCCCAGGAGUUCUGGGCUGUAGUGCGCUAUGCCGAUCGGGUGUUCACACUAAGUUCGGCAUCAAUAUGGUGACCUCCCUGGAGCGGGGAACCACCAGGUUGCCUAAGGAGGGGUGAACUAGCCCAGGUCGGAAACAGAGCAGGUUAAAACUCCCGUGCUGAUCAGUAGUGGGAUUCUCACCUGUGAAUAGCCACUGCACUCUAGCCUGGGCAACAUAGGAGACCCUGUCUCU